CCACACAAGCAGUGUACUCCGGAGUUGUCACACGAUAGGGAUAACCUUUUUGGGUCCCGAGGGGUUAGCCUUUUUGGGCCCCGCAGACAGUCUUGGGCGAGUGAGCUGAUCCUCCCCAUGUGAGUCAGGUGAGUGAGCUGAUCCUCACCUGUGAGAUUCAGAUUGGGUUGUGGUAUUUGUGUCAGUCGGGCUAGUGAGCGGAUCCUCCCCGAAGUGUUAGAUUGUGAGUCGGGCGAGUGAGCGGAUCCUCCCCGAAGUGUUUAGAUAGCGAGUCGGGCGAGUGAGCGGAUCCUCCCCGGUAUGUUAGAUUGUGAGUUGGGUGAGUGAGCGGAUCCUCACCUGUGUGAUUAAGUAAGUAUGGCAUUUCAUUAUUGUUGAAGCAUCAUGUAGUAGAAUUGUAGUUAUUUACUAUGAUUAAAGUUAUGCAUGCAUUAUUGCAGAUUGAGGCAUAGUUAGAUGUUCAUUUUAUACUCCUAACUGUUUAUUAUAAAUGCUUUCAAUUCAGCACAACUAUCUAUCUAUUUGCAUUAUCUCUCUAUGCCUGCUUAGACCUAGCGGGGAGAUCGGCGGAGUCGGCGGCCGAACCCACUGGGAACUAUUCGUAGUUCUCACCCCGUGUGGUUUUGGGGUACAGGUCCGAGUACUAGCGCACCGGUCGAGGAUCGUGGCAAGGGCUUAGCGCCCUAGAGGUUGUAGUAGUAGCUUUCUUACUCCUAUGCAUUAGUAGUACCCUAUUUCUAUUUUGAGAGUAGAUGAUGUAUAGGGUGUGAGGUGUUUUGGAUGAUGUAAACUUAAUGUUUAAUAUUUUGGAAGUUAAAUGUAAUCAAAUGUAUUAAGUUGAAUGGAUGUAAUAGAUUAGUACCUCUCUUUUAUUCACUUGUAUGUUGGUUACUCGUGAUGCUUGCUC
RNAcentral lists this long non-coding RNA (907 nucleotides) under Ananas comosus (pineapple). RNAcentral's name for it is "long non-coding RNA (ACOM_LNC036872)". The record is from RNAcentral. Lineage: Eukaryota; Viridiplantae; Streptophyta; Magnoliopsida; Poales; Bromeliaceae.